RNAcentral lists this ribosomal RNA (279 nucleotides) under uncultured bacterium. RNAcentral describes it as "partial 16S ribosomal RNA". It matches the Rfam family "Bacterial small subunit ribosomal RNA", at positions 506 to 784 of the family's 1533-position model. The record is from RNAcentral.
UGCCAGCAGCCGCGGUAACACGGAGGGUGCAAGCGUUAAUCGGAAUUACUGGGCGUAAAGCGCGCGUAGGCGGCUUGUUAAGCUGGAUGUGAAAGCCCCGGGCUCAACCUGGGAACUGCAUCCAGAACUGGCAAGCUAGAGUACGGUAGAGGGUAGUGGAAUUUCAGGUGUAGCGGUGAAAUGCGUAGAGAUCUGAAGGAACACCAGUGGCGAAGGCGACUGCCUGGACCGAUACGGACGCUGAGGUGCGAAAGCGUGGGGAGCAAACAGGAUUAGAUA